CCUACGGGAGGCAGCAGUAGGGAAUCUUCCACAAUGGGCGAAAGCCUGAUGGAGCGACGCCGCGUGGGUGAAGAAGGUCUUCGGAUCGUAAAGCCCUGUUGUUAGGGAAGAAAGUGCGUGAGAGUAACUGAUCACGUUCCGACGGUAUCUAACCAGAAAGCCACGGCUAACUACGUGCCAGCAGCCGCGGUAAUACGUAGGGGGCAAGCGUUAUCCGGAUUUAGUGGGCGUAAAGGGAACGCAGGCGGUCUUGUAAGUCUGCUGUGAAAGCCCUGGGCUUAACCGCGGGAGUGCUUUGGAAACUGGGAGACUGGAGUGCAGAAGAGGAGAGUGGAAUUCCAUGUGUAGCGGUGAAAUGCGUAGAUAUAUGGAAGAACACCAGUGGCGAAGGCGGCUUUCUGGUCUGUAACUGACGCUGAGGGUCGAAAGCGUGGGGAGCAAACAGGAUUAGAUACCCCAGUAGUC
RNAcentral lists this ribosomal RNA (465 nucleotides) under uncultured bacterium. RNAcentral describes it as "partial 16S ribosomal RNA". It matches the Rfam family "Bacterial small subunit ribosomal RNA", at positions 338 to 795 of the family's 1533-position model. The record is from RNAcentral.